AAACCGGAGCUAAUACCGGAUAAUCCCUUUUUCCACCUGGAGAGAGGGUGAAAGAUGGCUUCGGCUAUCACUAGGGGAUGGGCCCGCGGCGCAUUAGCUAGUUGGUAAGGUAACGGCUUACCAAGGCAACGAUGCGUAGCCGACCUGAGAGGGUGAUCGGCCACACUGGGACUGAGACACGGCCCAGACUCCUACGGGAGGCAGCAGUAGGGAAUCUUCCGCAAUGGACGAAAGUCUGACGGAGCAACGCCGCGU
This 255-nucleotide ribosomal RNA is filed under the name Shouchella clausii. RNAcentral describes it as "partial 16S ribosomal RNA". It matches the Rfam family "Bacterial small subunit ribosomal RNA", at positions 154 to 402 of the family's 1533-position model. Lineage: Bacteria; Bacillati; Bacillota; Bacilli; Caryophanales; Bacillaceae. The record is from RNAcentral.